Molecule: ribosomal RNA, 460 nt
Filed under: uncultured bacterium
Lineage: Bacteria
Description: bacterial SSU rRNA
Rfam family: Bacterial small subunit ribosomal RNA
Source: RNAcentral
UACGGAAGGCAGCAGUGGGGAAUAUUGCACAAUGGGCGAAAGCCUGAUGCAGCUAUGCCGCGUGUAUGAAGAAGGCCUUAGGGUUGUAAAGUACUUUCAUCGGGGAGGAAAAAACAAAACUAAUAAUUUUAUUUCUUGACGUUACCCGAAAAAGAAGCACCGGCUAACUCCGUGCCAGCAGCCGCGGUAAUACGGAGGGUGCUAGCGUUAAUCAGAAUUACUGGGCGUAAAGAGCACGUAGGUGGUUUUUUUAAAGUCAGAUGUGAAAUCCCUGGGCUUAACCUAGGAACUGCAUUUUGAAACUGAAAUACUAGAGUAUCGUAGAGGAGGUAGAAUUCUAGGUGUAGCGGUGAAAUGCGUAGAUAUCUGGAGGAAUACCUGUGGCGAAAGCGGCCUCCUAAACCGAAUACUGACACUGAGGUGCGAAAGCGUGGGGAGCAAACAGGGAUUAGAUACCCGU